CUGAACCAGCCAAGUAGCGUGAAGGAUGACUGCCCUAUGGGUUGUAAACUUCUUUUAUAAAGGAAUAAAGUCGGGUAUGGAUACCCGUUUGCAUGUACUUUAUGAAUAAGGAUCGGCUAACUCCGUGCCAGCAGCCGCGGUAAUACGGAGGAUCCGAGCGUUAUCCGGAUUUAUUGGGUUUAAAGGGAGCGCAGGCGGACUCUUAAGUCAGUUGUGAAAGUUUGCGG
This 227-nucleotide ribosomal RNA is filed under the name uncultured bacterium. RNAcentral's name for it is "partial 16S ribosomal RNA". It matches the Rfam family "Bacterial small subunit ribosomal RNA", at positions 383 to 607 of the family's 1533-position model. The record is from RNAcentral.